AGAACCGCGGACGGUGGCUCGCGAGGAACUCGGUGCGCUCUGAGGACUUGGAGAGAGAGAAAAAAAAAAAGAAAAAAAGGAAAGGAAAGAAAACACCCCUACCUGACAAAUCAUCGAGGGAAAAAAGGGGGACAGGACCUCUUUGACGCGCUUCCACCUCUCCAGAAGCGUGCAGAGGCGCGCGGCUCGUGCCGUCCAUCCUGCUGUCGGUGAACUGUGUGUGUGCGGGAUUGUACAGGAGAUGGCCACGCGCGCGCGCAGAGGCCCUUCACGCGACCCAGUUAAUAAUGUCAGUGAGGUGUUCAUCCACGGCUGCUGAGCGAGGCCGGUUAGUGAGCCGCUCCUCUGACCCCUCCCCGGCAGCGUCUCACUGGAACAGUCCGGUUCUAAAGGCCGAGCGCUCCUCUCUGACCGACCUCAUCUCCAAAACAUCCAAAUAUAGGUGCUUUUUGCUACAUCUGGACGACGCGGACGCACCACCUCUCUGACCCGCCUCACGCUCUCCCCACUGUCCGUGAGCUUAAAAAGAUGUUAGACGAUGGAAUAACAGAGAUAAGGCCCGGUGCGUUUGUACUGACGCUGAUUCCGUUCGGCGCAGUUUCCAAUCGCCCCCCAGGGGGGAAAGUGGGCGGGCGGCCGGGCGGCCGGGCGCGUUGCAUCUGUUUCAUUUAACCGGCGCUGCAAGAGCGAGAUCACGAGGAGCCGCUAAGAUAUCUUCCAAUAACAAAGUCUCAGGGCUAUAAAAAUCAAUCAAGGCCCCGGCCAAAAUCAGUGUGCAAUGCCCCGGUGGAAAACGCAUUACGGGCCAGACGACACUUUUAUGGGAGGCCCAGCGGGGGGGCUGCGGUCAAGAUAAAAACACGGGGUCAGAGCUGCACGCCUCUACCUGUUGGCUUAAUCACCCACCGUAGCAGGUUGCCAGACCAUAUUAGCCGGCUGCGCUAUUGUGCUAAGUGCAGACUUUAAAGUGGGGUCAGAGGUCACGUACAGACCUCAUGUGCUGUUUUUAAAACUUUCCAGCUCUGAAGUUUGACUGAGGUGACAUCCUCAUCCUCAAGGCCAGGUUUGAAGCGACCGCUACUACUGACCCUCAGAGCAAGUGGAAGUGGAUUCUGCCAAGAACACGGAUACACACACAUACUGUACAGUAUAUACAGAUGCAGAGGCAAAAAGUACCCUGACGAUCACACACACACACACACACACACGCACACUCUGGAGAAGCGAGCCGUCAGCCAUCACUGUCAUAAAUCUCCCGUUCUGUGGCGAGGAGGGCACUCUGCACCUUGUCGGAAACGCCCACAUUAAACGCUGAAUAAACCAUAACAUCCUGCCCCCCGCGGCCCACCAGGAGCGCUCCGAGCUUCCCCUCGGCCCCUUCUGUCCCCCCGUUCCAUCCAUCCAUCCAACCAUCUCCUUCCUUCUCUUUCCCCCCUCACAGCGCCUUUCGUAGGACCGCAUCUGUGCGGGGGGUCACGGCGCAUGUGGUCGUCUCGCUCGGACCCUUAAAGUGGGGGAGGGGGGUUUCCAUUCCAACGACUUCCUGUUCCCUGUGAUGUCAUCAUGGGAGGAAAGGGGCACUUAAGUGGAGGAUGCAAACACUCAUUUCCUGUCGUGUGCCAGACUUGAUUGAACAAUGCGGGCAGGUGUGUGUGUGUGUGUGUGUGUGUGUGUGUACGUGUGUGUAUACGUGUGAUUAUACUGCUUCGCAAUCCCCAUAGAGGAAACAUCACAUUUCUGGAACACGAGAUGGAGAAAUUAUUUUACGAUCCCACUACCCUUGUUACGCCCAGAAAAGGGUGUGAGGAAAAGAAUCUACUCGCAAGUCUUAAAAUAAAUAAAUAAAUUAAUAAAAAUUUUAAAAAACA
Ictalurus punctatus (channel catfish) is the source of this 1868-nucleotide long non-coding RNA. RefSeq lists it as uncharacterized. The record is from RefSeq and is a predicted model, not a curated record. NCBI's taxonomy places the organism in Eukaryota, Metazoa, Chordata, Actinopteri, Siluriformes, Ictaluridae. The transcript has 3 exons.